RNAcentral lists this long non-coding RNA (787 nucleotides) under Mytilus galloprovincialis (Mediterranean mussel). The record is from RNAcentral. Lineage: Eukaryota; Metazoa; Mollusca; Bivalvia; Mytilida; Mytilidae.
UUUGGCACUGGACUUAUGACUCUUGUUUGUAUGUCUUCACUUUAGUAGUGAUGCUGGAAAUCUAAAAUUUAUUAAAAUACCUGAUAACCAGUUUAUGAUUUGAAUAUCUUUUAAAAUAUCAGAACUGUUGAAAAAAAAGGAAGUCAAUUCUUUUAAAAGCCCGCCGUGCAGUAUUCGCGGAUUACAGCUGAUUUCCUAAUGCUUGCAAAGUAAAACUUUGUUUGGCUUGCUUGCUUUGUUUGUAUAAUUGUUAAUACAAGCUUUGUAAAUAAGAUUGACAUCUUUAAACAAUAUAUAUAGGCAUUGUUUAACCUGAAUAUAUUAUAUUUGAAUUUAAUUGGGUGUUAUCCUAUGGAUUGUACAAUAUAAAAACCAAGCAAGCAAGCUAACCAAAGUUUUGUUCUACAUGCUUAGGAAAUUACUGUAAUAUAAAAGCAUCAUCGGAGUUUAUUAGUACAGAAUAAUUACAUAGUAAACGAUUAGUUCAACUGAACUAGAAUUGUUUGUACAUGUAUGUGCGCUCUAAACGAGCAUAAUACUUGCAACUGGAAUAUAAGCAAUUUCAGUCAAAAGUCGAUUUAUAUGUUACAGAUUAAAUUUGCAAUAACAACCGGCAUUGAACCAACUAAUACUAAUAAAUGACCACUUCAUCAACUGUGUCCCCCAUUAUAGAAUUGCCGUAAACGUUAUUGAUUUUAUUCAUGUAUUAGCGCUAAAAGACGUGAGACGUCCUGGCGUUUAAUAGUGGACACGUUUUGGCGAAUAACAAUUAUCGGACACGUUUUGG